Molecule: ribosomal RNA, 460 nt
Filed under: uncultured bacterium
Lineage: Bacteria
Description: partial 16S ribosomal RNA
Rfam family: Bacterial small subunit ribosomal RNA
Source: RNAcentral
CCUACGGGUGGCUGCAGUGAGGAAUAUUGGUCAAUGGGCGCGAGCCUGAACCAGCCAAGUAGCGUGAAGGAUGAAUGCCCUACGGGUUGUAAACUUCUUUUAUAAAGGAAUAAAGUGAGGCACGUGUGCCUUUUUGUAUGUACUUUAUGAAUAAGGAACGGCUAACUCCGUGCCAGCAGCCGCGGUAAUACGGAGGAUCCGAGCGUUAUCCGGAUUUAGUGGGUUUAAAGGGAGCGUAGAUGGGUUGUUAAGUCAGUUGUGAAAGUUUGCGGCUCAACCGUGAAAUUGCAAUUGUUACUGGCAGCCUUGAGUACAGUUGAGGUAGGCGGAAUUCGUGGUGUAGAGGUGAAAUGCUUAGAUAUCACGAAGAACUCCGAUUGCGAAGGCAGCUUACUAAACUGCCACUGACAUUGAUGCUCGAAAGUGUGGGGAUCAAACAGGAUUAGAUACCCCAGUAGUC